Molecule: ribosomal RNA, 433 nt
Filed under: uncultured bacterium
Lineage: Bacteria
Description: partial 16S ribosomal RNA
Rfam family: Bacterial small subunit ribosomal RNA
Source: RNAcentral
CCCUCCCUCUUUCUUCCUGCCUAACACAUGCAAGUCGAACGAGACCUUCGGGUCUAGUGGCGCACGGGUGCGUAACGCGUGGGAACCUGCCCUUAGGUUCGGAAUAACUCCCCGAAAGGGGUGCUAAUACCGGAUAAUGUCUUCGGACCAAAGAUUUAUCGCCUUUGGAUGGGCCCGCGUUGGAUUAGCUAGUUGGUAGGGUAAAAGCCUACCAAGGCGACGAUCCAUAGCUGGUCUGAGAGGAUGAUCAGCCACACUGGGACUGAGACACGGCCCAGACGCCUACGGGAGGCAGCAGUGGGGAAUAUUGGACAAUGGGCGAAAGCCUGAUCCAGCAAUGCCGCGUGAGUGAUGAAGGCCUUAGGGUUGUAAAGCUCUUUUAACCGGGAUGAUAAUGACAGUACCGGGAGAAUAAGCUCCGGCUAACUCCGUG